This is a long non-coding RNA of Triticum aestivum (bread wheat), 2316 nucleotides long. RefSeq lists it as uncharacterized. NCBI's taxonomy places the organism in Eukaryota, Viridiplantae, Streptophyta, Magnoliopsida, Poales, Poaceae. The record is from RefSeq and is a predicted model, not a curated record. The transcript is spliced from 4 exons.
GAUGCGUGGUUCUAGAUCGGACGUCUCCAUGGAGAGCAGGGAUGAAGAAGCAGUACAGGCCUGCGGUGGGGCGACCCGAACCGAGGAGAACUCGGCGACAGGGAAAAGAAGCAGCAGUGGCAGCGCUUGUCUCGGUGGGGUGGAGCUGCUCGGAAGAUGGAAGGGGACUGUCGACUUGCGGGAGGAGCAGGCCGGCCCUUGUUCGCCCUAGAGACACUUCCGACGCCGCAAGCCAGGGCAGCUCGACCACAGAAGCCCGCAGGAGCAGUAAACCAUGGAGGAUUUGGAGGCUGCUCACGUUUGUAACAGUAAACCAUGGAGGAUAUGGGGGAUGCACGACCUUAGAGCAGCAAACCAUGUCAGGCAAGGGUUAAACUGGGCUAUAUUUCUUUCAUUGAGGCGAGGGUGAUUCCAGCAGGUGAGGCGCAAUUUAGACAUCUGGAUGAUGUCUUGCUAUGUCCAGGUGGUACCAUGUCUGAAUUAAGAUUUUCCUUGCAGAUUUUGCUUGGCGUAUUCGCCUUUUUUCUUGAAGUUGGGCGUCAAUCGUCUCUGCGGCAAGGUGUCUGGUAGAAUUACUAGAAGUAGCGGAUCUACUUUUAUUUGCUGUCCUUGCUUGCCAUCAACUUAUGCCAACGAUGCAAGGUAUGAUGUUUGAUUAAUAGCUAUUCUUAGAGGAUGGAUCCAAAUAUUGUUUAAUUUGCCGGUUCUAUACUUGGUUGCAUUUUUUUACUGAAUGAAUGGCUCACGUUUUUUUUUGGAAAAGGAGGUUAAAACCUCCGGCCUCUGCAUCAAUCGAUGCAUACAAUCAUCACAUUGUUACGUAGCCUAACAUAUAUGUACAUUUUCUUCAAGCCUUAAAGUGUAGUUAGCACAACAUACAGACACACUUUGGUCGUGGGAUUAGCUUUCUCAUUAAAUUAUUUAAAUUGGUAGCUCAGAAACUAACUCUAUAGGUCUAUUAAAUCUUCUGUAGACCCACAUAUUUGAUAUUACCUGAAAAAUAAGGAGGUUACCUUUUCCUUUUAAUACCUGGAACCAAAUUGUUUGAUACCAAUUAUAUCUGGGCGCAGUUUCAUACAAGAUACAGCUUAGUAGCAAAAAAAAUUGCCCUCUGUCUUAUUUCUCCAUACAUUGGAUUCAUAUUUGUUACAAAUUUACAUCAAGGAGCCUUAGGCAUUUGUACUUUCAGAAUCAUUUUGAAACUGUGGUUCAGAGCAGAGGGCAUUUAAUAAGGAUGGUUCUAUUUCUGAAUCUUGCUCUAAUCCCUAAAAGGUGAAAUUGGGCAUGAUUUUGAUAUUUGUUUUACAAGAUAUUACAUCGAUUUUCUGGUUUGGGCAUACUGAUAAUUGUUUUCUUCAGACUACAUCUUAGCAUGCACUUUUGUAGACUAUUCUUGAUUAGUAGAUGUAUAUGAAUGUGAGCAACAGAGUUCUUUACUCCUAGAAAUUGCACAUGCCAAUGAAAUUCAGGUAUCCCUUGAUAAGUCUCUCAGCAUUUUGCUUUCGUUCGUAGAAUUAAAAUUUGCCAUCAAACAAACAAAUAGUUGUGUUACUAAGUUUAUUCUGUAAUUUGCAUGACAGUUUUGCAUAGGCUUGGUUUGUUCUGACAAAAGGUUAUUUCACACAACAUUAGAAUUGAAGUUUCUCCAUAGCUUUGGUUCAGUGGUAGCUUUAGCCUUUUUACAUGUGUGAGUAGGUGUUUCUAUCCAUUGACAUGAGAACAAAAUAGGUCAUGACAUGUUAAAUUAUUAAUAAUGGUCCAGAUUCAAAAAGAGUCUAUGAUGUAGAGAUUAAUAUGCUUAUAAAAUUCCCUCCUUUCUCAUUAUAAGUUCCCUUUUUAUUCUGAGCUCAGUUCUAAGUGUAAAGCUAAUUGGUUUGCUAAAAACACUGCAUCUAUAGUAUAUAUCUACACCAGAUAGAUUGUUGAUUUGUUUCUUAGAAAAGGGUUAUUUUAGCUAAUCUUUGGUACCGAUGGAAUAUGCAGUGAUUACUCCCAUAACCUAUGAUAAAGUAAUAUAAUUACCAUUUUCGGUCAACUUUCCAACACAUUAUGUCCAUGCUGUAACUAACAUUGUGUAUUUUUACACAGAUCUGUUCAUCGCAUGAAGCAAGGAAUUGAGACGGCCAUCCACUUCAUAUUGUUAACUCGAUGGUGUCGCACUAUGCUUUAUGAAAGCAACCUAAAUAAAUUGUUGUAAAUAACCCUAAGGAUUUUCUUUACCUUGAACUAUCUUUAAACCUUUCUUCUUGCUUCACUUGAUGCUUUUGGACUUCAUGCUGCCAUUGACCGGAAUGUAAACUGUUAUAUUUCUGAAUG